Molecule: ribosomal RNA, 253 nt
Filed under: uncultured bacterium
Lineage: Bacteria
Description: partial 16S ribosomal RNA
Rfam family: Bacterial small subunit ribosomal RNA
Source: RNAcentral
UACGGAGGGUGCGAGCGUUGUUCGGAAUCACUGGGCGUAAAGGGCGUGUAGGCGGUCCGCUAAGUCUGAUGUGAAAGCCCGGGGCUCACCCCCGGAAGUGCAUUGGAAACUGGCGGACUCGAGUCCCGGAGAGGAGAGUGGAAUUCCCGGUGUAGAGGUGAAAUUCGUAGAUAUCGGGAGGAACACCGGUGGCGAAGGCGGCGACCUGGGUAGAUACUGACGCUGAGGUGCGAAAGCGUGGGGAGCAAACAGG